UACAGAGGUCCCAAGCGUUGUUCGGAUUCACUGGGCGUAAAGGGUGCGUAGGCGGUUGGGUAAGUCUGAUGUGAAAUCUCACAGCUUAACUGUGAAACUGCAUUGGAUACUAUCCAACUCGAGGAAUGGAGGGGAGACUGGAAUACUUGGUGUAGCAGUGAAAUGCGUAGAUAUCAAGUGGAACACCAGUGGCGAAGGCGAGUCUCUGGACAUUUCCUGACGCUGAGGCACGAAAGCGUGGGGAGCAAACAGG
RNAcentral lists this ribosomal RNA (253 nucleotides) under uncultured bacterium. Its description in RNAcentral is "partial 16S ribosomal RNA". It matches the Rfam family "Bacterial small subunit ribosomal RNA", at positions 524 to 776 of the family's 1533-position model. The record is from RNAcentral.